ACGUAGUUGGCCGGGGCUUCUUCUGCAGGUACCGUCAUUUUCGUCCCUGCUGAAAGGGGUUUACAACCCGAAGGCCGUCAUCCCCCACGCGGCGUUGCUGCGUCAGGCUUUCGCCCAUUGCGCAAGAUUCCCU
RNAcentral lists this ribosomal RNA (133 nucleotides) under uncultured bacterium. RNAcentral's name for it is "partial 16S ribosomal RNA". The record is from RNAcentral.